GUUAAAUUAUCGGCAGCACAUAUAUUAAAACUGGAAUGAUACAGAGAUUAGCAUGGCCCCUACGCAAGGAUGACAAGCAAAAUCGUGAAGCAAUUAAAUUUAAA
This is a small nuclear RNA of Suncus etruscus (white-toothed pygmy shrew), 104 nucleotides long. The record is from RefSeq and is a predicted model, not a curated record. Lineage: Eukaryota; Metazoa; Chordata; Mammalia; Eulipotyphla; Soricidae.